AAUCAAACUCAAGACCUUACUUGCGAGGCAUACACACUGCUGCCAAGAGCUAAAUCCAUGGCCCUCCAUCCUUUUUAAAAAGUAACCUAACAAUUUGAAGUCAUGGCACCUUUAGAAAACUUAAGACUUUCAUAUCAAGAAAGAUGGAGUAGAAAUACUUUUCUUCUGAGAAGAACAACUAAAAUUUCUGGAUACUACAAUGUUAUAUACAUGUAAAAGAUAUGAAGAGACUUUAAAAGUGUGGUGGCUGGAGAAAAUGACAAUCUGGAAAUGCAAUUGAAUACCCACAGGAAAAGCCCCACGAAAAGCUGGGUAUCCUUAGUGAAAGGUCUAAGAGAAGAGCCACCUAACAAGAGAGAAAAGUUUUGGACAAUAACUAUUUGGCUCCAGCCAAAAGCUACAGGAACAACAGAGUCUCUGUUUCUAGUAACAAGUAGCCAAGCCUAAGUAAAAGUCUUGACUUCAUCCUUCUAGGUUUCAGUGAGUUUCUCUAACCUCCUGGCCAGCCUGGUGUUAGAAAACAUCCAGUAGAGACCCAGGACUUUCACUCUUACAGAGCUACAAAUCCACAAAUGCAAGAAGACCAAGCAGGAUACCACUUUCACUUCUUUUGUUGUUAUUUUUGCUGUUGUUUUGAGAAGGGCUUUCACUAUAAGCUGGUCUUGAACUCAAAAUGCAACCCAAGCUGACCUAAAACUUGCAACACUUCUCCAGCCUCAGCCUCCCCAGUGCUAGAAGAUAGGUGUGGGCCACAAUACUCCGUUUGACUUCCAUUUCUAUCCUACAGAGUUAAACUCUCAUCAACACUUCUCAGGAACAAGCCCCCUGGCCCACUGUUUCAAUAGGGAGUAGUAAUAAGGCACCCUUGGCAUUCCUACUGAAAGGCAUUAUCAAAGGCUUACUGAGAAGAAGUUCCACCUCGAUAUGAAGUAACAAAGAGAUUGUCCUGCAA
Fukomys damarensis (Damara mole-rat) is the source of this 952-nucleotide long non-coding RNA. RefSeq lists it as uncharacterized. NCBI's taxonomy places the organism in Eukaryota, Metazoa, Chordata, Mammalia, Rodentia, Bathyergidae. The record is from RefSeq and is a predicted model, not a curated record. The transcript has 2 exons.